RNAcentral lists this ribosomal RNA (235 nucleotides) under uncultured bacterium. Its description in RNAcentral is "partial 16S ribosomal RNA". It matches the Rfam family "Bacterial small subunit ribosomal RNA", at positions 524 to 756 of the family's 1533-position model. The record is from RNAcentral.
UACGUAGGGUCCAAGCGUUAAUCGGAAUUACUGGGCGUAAAGCGUGCGCAGGCGGUUGUGCAAGACCGAUGUGAAAUCCCCGGGCUUAACCUGGGAAUUGCAUUGGUGACUGCACGGCUAGAGUGUGUCAGAGGGGGGUAGAAUUCCACGUGUAGCAGUGAAAUGCGUAGAGAUGUGGAGGAAUACCGAUGGCGAAGGCAGCCCCUGGGAUAACACUGACGCUCAUAGCUGACGA